GGAGCAGUGAAAAGACUUUGAAAAGAGAGUUAAACAGUAUGUGAAAUUGUUAAAAGGGAACCGUUUGGAGCCAGACUGGCUUGAUCGUAAUCACUCUAGGCUUUGGCCUGGAUGCACUUGCGGUCUAUGCCGGCCAACGACAGUUUUGUUUGAGGGAAAAAAUUACAUUGAAUGUGGCCCUUCGGGGUGUUAUAGCUUUGUAAAAAAUACCUUGGACGGGACUGAGGAACGCAGCGAAUGCCUUUAGGCGAGAUUGCUGGGUGCUUGCGCUGAUACAUGCUAGAAUUUCUGCUUUGGGUGGUGCUAGUGUGUAAAGGAGUAACCCGCUUAGUAUAUUUUUUAUUCGCUUAGGUUGUUGGCUUAAUGACUCUAAAUGACCCGUCUUGAA
Molecule: ribosomal RNA, 388 nt
Filed under: Mucor sp. BAB-2292
Lineage: Eukaryota; Fungi; Mucoromycota; Mucoromycetes; Mucorales; Mucoraceae
Description: eukaryotic LSU rRNA
Rfam family: Eukaryotic large subunit ribosomal RNA
Source: RNAcentral